AAGUAGAAUAAAUCAUUUUCUGUGAUCAAACUGACAGAUCAAUGAUUUAGUCUCUUUG
RNAcentral lists this microRNA precursor (58 nucleotides) under Oreochromis niloticus (Nile tilapia). RNAcentral's name for it is "microRNA oni-mir-10662 precursor". Lineage: Eukaryota; Metazoa; Chordata; Actinopteri; Cichliformes; Cichlidae. The record is from miRBase by way of RNAcentral.